CCUACGGGUGGCAGCAGUGAGGAAUAUUGGUCAAUGGCCGAGAGGCUGAACCAGCCAAGUCGCGUGAGGGAAGACGGCCCUACGGGUUGUAAACCUCUUUUGUCGGGGAGCAAAGCGAGUCACGUGUGACUCUUUGUGAGUACCCCAUGAAAAAGGAUCGGCUAACUCCGUGCCAGCAGCCGCGGUAAUACGGAGGAUGCGAGCGUUAUCCGGAUUUAUUGGGUUUAAAGGGUGCGCAGGCGGAGGUGAAAGCCAGCGGUCAAAUCGCGGGGCUCAACCCCGUACUGCCGUUGAAACUGCAUCCCUUGAGUGCGCGAGAAGUAUGCGGAAUGCGUGGUGUAGCGGUGAAAUGCAUAGAUAUCACGAAGAACUCCGAUUGCGAAGGCAGCAUACGGGAGCGCAACUGACGCUCAUGCACGAAAGCGUGGGUAUCGAACAGGAUUAGAUACCCGGGUAGUC
Molecule: ribosomal RNA, 459 nt
Filed under: uncultured bacterium
Lineage: Bacteria
Description: partial 16S ribosomal RNA
Rfam family: Bacterial small subunit ribosomal RNA
Source: RNAcentral